RNAcentral lists this ribosomal RNA (253 nucleotides) under uncultured bacterium. RNAcentral's name for it is "partial 16S ribosomal RNA". It matches the Rfam family "Bacterial small subunit ribosomal RNA", at positions 524 to 776 of the family's 1533-position model. The record is from RNAcentral.
UACGGGGGGUGCGAGCGUUGUCCGGAAUCACUGUGCGUAAAGGGCGCGUAGGUGGCUUUGUAAGUUUGCGGUGAAAGCCCGGGGCUCAACCCCGGGUCUGCCGUGGAUACUGCAAGGCUUGAGUACUGUAGAGGCAGGUAGAAUAUCGGGUGUAGCGGUGGAAUGCGUAGAGAUCCGAUAGAAGACCGGUGGCGAAGGCGGCCUGCUGGGCAGUAACUGACACUGAGGCGCGACAGCGUGGGGAGCAAACAGG